RNAcentral lists this ribosomal RNA (165 nucleotides) under Suaeda calceoliformis. Its description in RNAcentral is "5.8S ribosomal RNA". It matches the Rfam family "5.8S ribosomal RNA". From Rfam's summary of the family: 5.8S ribosomal RNA (5.8S rRNA) is a component of the large subunit of the eukaryotic ribosome. It is transcribed by RNA polymerase I as part of the 45S precursor that also contains 18S and 28S rRNA. The record is from RNAcentral. RNAcentral also lists the same sequence under 2 other names. Lineage: Eukaryota; Viridiplantae; Streptophyta; Magnoliopsida; Caryophyllales; Amaranthaceae.
UUAAUGACUCUCGGCAACGGAUAUCUCGGCUCUCGCAUCGAUGAAGAACGUAGCGAAAUGCGAUACUUGGUGUGAAUUGCAGAAUCCCGUGAACCAUCGAGUCUUUGAACGCAAGUUGCGCCCGAAGCCUUCUGGCCGAGGGCACGUCUGCCUGGGCGUCACGCA